UACAGAGGUCUCAAGCGUUGUUCGGAUUCAUUGGGCGUAAAGGGUGCGUAGGCGGUGAGGUAAGUCUGGUGUGAAAUCCCGGAGCUCAACUCCGGAACUGCACUGGAUACUGCCUUACUUGAGCACUGGAGAGGGAACUGGAAUUUACGGUGUAGCAGUGAAAUGCGUAGAUAUCGUAAGGAAGACCAGCGGCGAAGGCGAGUUCCUGGACAGUUGCUGACGCUGAGGCACGAAGGCCAGGGGAGCAAACGGGG
Molecule: ribosomal RNA, 254 nt
Filed under: uncultured bacterium
Lineage: Bacteria
Description: partial 16S ribosomal RNA
Rfam family: Bacterial small subunit ribosomal RNA
Source: RNAcentral